Molecule: small nuclear RNA, 197 nt
Filed under: Oryza brachyantha (malo sina)
Lineage: Eukaryota; Viridiplantae; Streptophyta; Magnoliopsida; Poales; Poaceae
Description: snRNA U2
Rfam family: U2 spliceosomal RNA
About the family: U2 is a small nuclear RNA (snRNA) component of the spliceosome (involved in pre-mRNA splicing).
Source: Rfam by way of RNAcentral
AUACCUUUCUCGGCCUUUUGGCUAAGAUCAAGUGUAGUAUCUGUUCUUAUCAGUUUAAUAUCUGAUAUGUGGGCCAUGCGCCCACUACGAUAUUAAAUUUAUUUUUCGUGGGGGAGGGACAACCACAGUGGCUUGCCACUGGGGCCCUCGCGCGUCGCCCAGGCGUUGCACUGCUGCCCGGGCCUGGCGCACCCCAA